AGUGCACUUCAGCGAAGUUGCAAUGCUCUGCAAGUUUAAUAUACAGACAAUAACAAAUACUGCCAACAGCAAUGAAAGAGAAAUGUAACCAUCGCUUUAGUUGCUUCUUUUACUGCUGCUAGUUUUGUUGUUGUUGUUCUUCGAGGCAUCGUUCAACAGUUUUGUAUUUGUUUUGUGCAGGAGCGAGCGAGAGGCAGCGUGCUGACGCCCCAACAACAACAACAAAGAAGACAACGAAAGUAAAAUUUCACCCAAAUUUUUGUUUGUUUUUGCUGGUUUUUUGCCUUUUUGCUAUUCGCAUAAAAAAUAAGCUGGAUAAACAAGUUUUUGUUGUUGUAACACAUACAUAUACACAUAUAUAUUUGUUGUCUCUUUCUUUGCCUUUUGUUGUUGCUGUAACCCUUUAUGUUUGUUUAGAUUUGCCGGCUUUGCCUGCGCGAAAGUUUAAAACGGCAUAUUGACCCCCUCUUCCGUUCCUCCCCCUCUUUAAACUGGUUUAAUUGCACUCUGCAUCAUCGUCGUUUCUUUGCGGUUUUGUGCGAUUGCUUAACUCGGUAUUAUUUCCUUUACAAUCCGAGAGAUAAAAAGGCAAAUCUGACACAAUCUGUUUGUUUUUUGCUUAGUUUAGUUUACGAUUCUCAUCAACGUACAGCAGACGAUAUCUCUCUAUCUCACUCUCUAUGUAUUUGUGGUUGUACAUGCAAAGUAAAUGGCCACUCGUUUAUUGUUGUUGUGUUAUCAGUGCUUGAAUGUGGUCACAUCAUUAGUAGUUGGUCACUUCUUUUUAUUUUGUUUCCACAUCUACGUCUAGUCUAUGGUGCAGUGUUACCAAGCGAUUCGAUGCACAAAAGAAACGAAAGAAAGAAAGAAGGAAGAGUUGUUUUGCACCCACACCCACACACAUAUAAGCGCACCCAUGUACAUACAUGCAAUCAUACAAAAGCAAAACAGUCCGUGGUGGGGGCGACAUUGGCGACUGCUGCACUGCUCGCUCUCGUUGUGCUUAAUGCUUAAUAACAAUGGCACAAAAAGUGUACACUCAUUGCACUCCAAAGUGCAAGACAAUGUUAAUAGGCUGUAGCUAGAGUUGUUGCUGUCUGUCGUUGCAGCUGCUGCGCAAAAUUCAAUUUUCAUAUACAUAUGCGCAGCGAAUACUGCACUUUGGGCCACGCCCUCAAUCCUCCCUCAACGCCCCUCAAAAGAAAGUAUCGCAUUAGCGUCGAUCAGCUUCACACAUGCAUACAUAUAUACGUAUAUGUACAUGUGUAUUUAUAUACAUAAAUUGAUCGCUCGAUAGAUAAAACAAAUUCUGUAUCUCGCAGAACAUUGUUAUCGCAUUUCGCUUAUCGAUUUUCAAAAUUUAUUGCACGAUAUUUCAAUGGAUGUUUAACGAUAACAAUAACGAUUAUUAAGCAAUGUUUGUUGUUUGCUUUUUACAUAAUUUAAUGAGAGUUUCCAAUAAACAAAAUCUCAACAUAUUUGCCUAAUCUGCUGAUUUAAAAUUCGCUAAACAUAAUCGCAACAUUUUAAACGCUGUUGCGCAGUUGGAAGAUUUCUUUUAAUAGUUUUUGUUUUUAUAGAUAAGAAAUAAUACCAAAAUAUUCCGAGGAAACAAGAAAAUAUUUAUAACAAUUGCAUUCGAUUACAAAAUGUGUAAAUCGAACAAUUUGUAACAAGUUCAAGACAAAGUCAAAAGUAAAGAUUUAAUCUAGUGCCAUUUGAUGAAAAUUUCAAAAUCCCGUGCUGAGUGUUAGAUGUCAAAAGUUUGAAAAUGUUUCGGUUUACACGCUUCAUGAUGCUUCCACAGGUGGCGAAAGCAACAACAACAACAACAAAUAAAUCAACA
This is a long non-coding RNA of Drosophila sulfurigaster albostrigata, 1846 nucleotides long. RefSeq lists it as uncharacterized. The record is from RefSeq and is a predicted model, not a curated record. The transcript is spliced from 2 exons. Lineage: Eukaryota; Metazoa; Arthropoda; Insecta; Diptera; Drosophilidae.